Molecule: ribosomal RNA, 497 nt
Filed under: uncultured bacterium
Lineage: Bacteria
Description: partial 16S ribosomal RNA
Rfam family: Bacterial small subunit ribosomal RNA
Source: RNAcentral
GAUGAACGCUGGCGGCGUGCCUAAUACAUGCAAGUCGAGCGAACGGACGAGAAGCUUGCUUCUCUGAUGUUAGCGGCUGACGUGUGAGUAACACGUGGAUAACCUACCUAUAAGACUGGGAUAACUUCGUGAAACCGGAGCUAAUACCGGAUAAUAUUUUGAACCGCAUGGUUCAAAAGUGAAAGACGGUCUUGCUGUCACUUAUAGAUGGAUCCGCGCUGCAUUAGCUAGUUGGUAAGGUAACGGCUUACCAAGGCAACGAUGCAUAGCCCACCUGACAGGGUUCUCCGCCUCACUGGAACUGACACACGGUCCACUCUCCUACGGCAGGCAGCAGUGGGGAAUCUUCCGACGUGCGCCAAAGUCUGACGGAGCAACGCCGCGUGAGUGAUGACAGUCUUCGGAUCGUACAACUCUCUUAUUAGUGAAGACAAUAUGUGUACGUAACUGUGCACCUCUUGGCGGUACCUAAACAGAAAGCAACGGCCAACCCCGUC